CGGCCGGGCGCAGCUGCGCCUCGUCGGGAGCCGCGGGCGGGGCCCGCCCCAAAGCCUCUUAAGCUCCUCCGGAGGCUGCCGGGAGCCACGGGGGAGUUUCUGCGGUUGUGGAUAGGAGACGGAGUGAGUUCUGUUUCUUUGUCGGGCCCUGACGCUGCUGAGGCUGAGAAGCGGCUGCUGUGAGACCUUUCGCGGUAAGGACCAGCCCAAACAGCGGGUGCUUCAGUUCUUCAGGCUCUCCUCGGCUGAGCGAGGGCUGCAGCAGAGGCUCUCAUCGGCCCGAAGCAGUGAGCUCGUGGAAGCGGUGAGUGUUUGAGAGUCGCUCGGUAAGAUCUCUCGUGUUGGGGCUCCUGUAGGGUUGCUGCUCGACUGCCUCUGUCUUUGGGAUCGGCACGGCGCCGCCGCUGGGCUCCCGUGUGGCUUUUUAGUAGGACCGGCACGGGGCCUCCGCCCGAGACCGAGCACGAUCCCGGGGUGGCCUCGGCCACUGCGGAGUGUUUUGCGGGUGCUCUCACCCAUCCCGUUUCCAGCGGUGGGAGCGAGCAGGUUGGGACCGUGGUUUUUUUUUUUCCCGCCUCUUCCUUCCCGUGUAACUGCAGGAGCACGAUUUAGGUUCCCAUCGUGGAGACCUGGCAGGGCAGCUCGCACGACUGGAGUGCUGUCGUGGAUGGCUCUGUUCUUUUUAGGAAAGACAGACCGGCCAGGCGGUGGAGUCUCUCUUCGAGGGAGAGAACGGGAACGUAUCGAGCUCCACCUAGGGGUGAAUGAAGAACCAGCGGAGCGUUUGUGCGUGAGGCUGAAGAGGCAGCUGGAAAUGGUGCCCACAGCUGUGAGGCUAGUUCUCAUGGUAGGCUCCAGGAGUUUCCUGCAAUGUGUCAAAGGUAAGAUCUUCUGACACAGGUGAUGAAGGAGGCAUUGAGGAGAGGGGCUGCUGGAGCUCCCUAUUGCAGAAGAGCCAUUUGGGGACAGGAAGGCCAGGGGCAGCCUGGAGCGUGCCAGUCGUGAGACCACAGUGUUUGGGAUCUUGUGUGGAAGCUGCAAAGCAAUGAGUAGGAUUGAAACACUGGACUUGGAGGGAGCCAAGUUUGUCCUCUUGAAGGGCCUACUUGGAGGUAACCCUUGCUCAAGCAUAGGAAGGGGUCCUGUGAAUGCUGGAGCAUUACUUCGUCCAUGCUGAGGUGCGCUGCGUCCCAAGGAGGAAGGAACUGCGCCGGAAUGGUGGGGGACCUGCAGGGCUGACUGAGGAACUUGAAGGGGAGAAGGAAGAGAGAGGCUGAGGAAGGCCAAGUCCCUCUGAGUAUCAGCUUUGGGAGGGAGGUCAAGGCUAAUGGAAGUUUGUCAACAGGAGAGACUGGAGAAAUUGCAGGCCUGUGCUUUACAAGGCGGAGGCCUCUUGGGUUUCAGUGGUUUCUGCUGAGAGUGCUCCUGGGGAACCUGGGGUCCUGGAGGAGAGAGUCCCUGAGGAAGGAUGUCUUCCCCUCAGUUGCGGAGGAGCUGGUCAAAGGUAGUUCAGGCAGAAAGGAGGCCAGCAAAUCUCUGAGCUGUAGAGGGCUAUGUCUGUGCCCGCUGAGAGCUGGCAGCGGUGACUGGCAAUAGCUCUCUGUCACUUUUUCCCUGCUGUUUCCUGUGGGAAAGGUACCUGAAGACUGGAGGAUGGCGGAUGCCACCGCAGCCUUCAGAAAGGGUGUGGAGGAUGGCGUGUGCAACUUGGAGGUAGGUUGGCCUCAUGUCUGUUCCUGGGGAGGUGACGCAACAGCUUGUUGCAGGUGUCAUUGCCAUGUGACUGGAGGAGAAGGUAUUUGCAAGGAGCAGUCCAGGUGGAUGGACAGAGGAGAAGUCAUGCCGGACCAAAAGGGUGAAGGCUGCAGAGAGGAUUGGCUGGAGCAGGUGUGCAGUUUUCCCAGUGGUGGGAUGAAGGAGGUUCAGGCUGGAGGCAGGAUCCUGGUGGUGUGAGUGGGGCGCCCCUGUGGAGCAAGGGUGGAAGGUGUGUGGCAGGUCCUGUCCCGGAGGAGUGGAGUUAAGGGUCCUGGCGUGGCUGUUUUCCUGCAUGGAAGAUGGAGAUCCUGGGAGCUGUGAUGAGGAGGAGCAGAGCCAGCAGCUGAAUUUCUGCACGGCAGCCUUUCUCGAAUGCAGUAGGGCUUCCCUGGCUUGAAGAUGGGUGUGCUGUCCUGAGGGAGGAGCAGUGUUGACUGUCUUACAGUGACCUUCUGCUUUCCUUUAAGAAGAGUCCACUAAGAACUGUAUUGGGUUUUUCAGUAGGUAACUCAGGAGAGGGCUUCUCGGUGAAAUCCUUUGUGUUGAAUUGCAGUAAGUUGAGUAUGUGAACCUUCCUCCCAAACUGAGACCGAACGCCAGCAAAAAUGCCAAAUAUGUUGUCCUGUUUCCCUUUAUAACAAAAGAUGUGGUACUUUGCUGGGGUUGCGCCUUUGUGUUCAAUGUUUGUAUGCAGUAUAUUGUAUCCUCAUGUGGGAGUCUGCCAUUAUUAACUGCACUGUUAAUAACUGUUAUUAUUAAUAUAAUAUAUUAAUAUAAACUGUAAAUUAAUAAUAAAAACUGUAAUUAUUAUUAAUAAAUUUACAGUUUAUAAUCCAGUUGUGCUGUGAUAGAAGUUCAGCAGCUGGAUAAUGCAGGAUAGAAAAUGGAGUUGACAGAGAUGCAAAACAACUCUCCUACUGCCUUGACUUGAACUGUGUCUCAGUGUGCUAUUACACUGACUCAUUAGUGCAAGCAGAUGUGUACCAUGAGGAAGGGCUGUUUUCUGAUGUGGGAUUUAGUUCUUGGGCCCGCUUUCCUGACAAGGGUUUUCUUUACCUACUCCCAUGGAUGAUAAAUGCUUUGAACUAGACCAGAGGAUAAGACUUCCUCCUUUUCUAACCCAGGCUUUCUCUUGAGCAGGAGGCUGUCACUGGAACACACAGGAACAGUCAGAGCAAUUACUGAAUUGGACUGUCUGAGCUGAAAGUUGAUGGUGCAUCCCUCUGGUAGAGGGAAUGCAAAAAAGAGAGGUCUUGAAUCAGUAGUGAGUUUAUUGCUGAAGAGCAAAGAUUCGUAUCUCACCCUAAGCUGGGUGUUUUUCACUGCCACACGCCCAGUCAUUUCACUAUACCCAUGUUCUGCCUGGUACCACUCUGACUACCUUCUACCACUAACAACCAGAAUGGCUGAGCAAGGAGUACUGUUUGCAGCUAGGAAGCCAAAAACAGCCAAAAACCCUUCUGUUGCUUCCUUCUGUGUUCUGUGGGGGUGCACAGUCAGAAGAGAGCUUCCACCAUGCAUACCAGUCCUUAUAAAGUAUCUUUCCUUAUGAACACCAGUACGGACUCCCUUUCACUGUCUCUUUUAGCUGGAGACCUGGGCUGUGCAUCUGUGUUCCUCCAUCUACAAUGAGAAGAAAGGGUUUGUUUUUUUUAAUUUCAUUGUUGUAACAAAUAAAAAUCAAGGGAGCUUGGCAACUGUGUUUGACUGUGAGUGGUUCUAGAAGUCUGACCUUUAUUCUUCUGUCAUUCAUAUUGAACACUGAUCCCUAGGUGCACAGUGCAUGAGGAAGCUCUAACCUUCUCCAGUUUCUACACUCACUUGAAGUAAUUAUGGCCAUAGUCAUUUCCCUUCCACAUCAACAUUGGUUACUGUACUGAGCAGAUAAAUCCCUUCCCCCAAACCUAUGAGGCUGCAUGACAAACCAUGGGGACUCCAUGUGGAAAUAACAGUAAAAAAAAGCCAUCCAGGGCUAAGAGGAGGUCUUUCAAACUUGAUGUGAUAUGUCUGUUCCUCAGGGGUUCAUAUGGUCUCGUGUACUUGACACUGCAAAAAAACAGUAGCAGAAGCAGUGAAACUAGGGAAAGAGGAAGGUUUCAGAUAUCACCUUGUAAAGCUCAUUGCUCACAGCAUAAGCUCUUCAGACUACCUCGACACACGGGCCUUGGAGAAGUCAGGCACAAGCGCUUAUCCUUCUAAAUGCCUUUCCCAAGAGCUGAGACCCCACAAACUUCACACGCCUAGCAAAAGCGCACAGGAAUGGGUCUCCAAGGAGGAAAAGCGAGCUCGCCUGUCAGUACUGCCAGGGAAGACAGUGGUGGAGACUGUUGGGCUGAUGUCCUCUUGUGUUGUUUUUAAUGCUAGUCCGCUAAAGUAGGAUGAUCAAAC
Gallus gallus (chicken) is the source of this 4143-nucleotide long non-coding RNA. Lineage: Eukaryota; Metazoa; Chordata; Aves; Galliformes; Phasianidae. The record is from Ensembl.